Molecule: ribosomal RNA, 463 nt
Filed under: uncultured bacterium
Lineage: Bacteria
Description: partial 16S ribosomal RNA
Rfam family: Bacterial small subunit ribosomal RNA
Source: RNAcentral
GAUGAACGCUGACAGCAUGCUUAACACAUGCAAGUCGAUGGGGAAGUGGUGCUUGCUCCUUGGUAACCAUGGCGGACGGGUGAGUAACGCGUAAGGAACUCGCCUGCGGGACUGGGAUAACAGCAGGAAACUGCUGAUAACACCUGCUAAGGUCAUUAAGCAGCAUAGCUUAGUGGUGAAAGGAGACGCUUGCGGAGAGCCUUGCGUCUUAUUAGCUAGUUGGUGGGGUAACGGCCCACCAAGGCGGGGAGAGGGGGCCGACCUGAGAGGGUGGACGGCCAAGAGGGGUCCGGGAGGCAGCCGUUAGGCCUACGGGAGGAAGCGGGGAAGAAUGAUGGAGAAAGGGGGCGAGCCUGAUGCAGGAAUUCGGUGUGCACAAAGACGGUUUUCGGAAUGAAAAGUGCUUUCAGAAGGGAAGAAGGAAGUGACGGUACCUGCAGAAGAAGCGACGGCUAAAUACGUG